RNAcentral lists this small nuclear RNA (23 nucleotides) under Arabidopsis thaliana (thale cress). RNAcentral describes it as "snRNA_12061". Lineage: Eukaryota; Viridiplantae; Streptophyta; Magnoliopsida; Brassicales; Brassicaceae. The record is from RNAcentral.
UGGGAUGAGCCAAGCCCGUGCAG